CUUUCUUUUGCUGGCGACCGGCGCACGGGUGAGUAACACGUAUCCAACCUGCCCUUUACUCGGGGAUAGCCUUUCGAAAGAAAGAUUAAUACCCGAUAGCAUAAUGAUUCCGCAUGGUUUCAUUAUUAAAGGAUUCCGGUAAAGGAUGGGGAUGCGUUCCAUUAGGUUGUUGGUGAGGUAACGGCCCACCAAGCCUUCGAUGGAUAGGGGUUCUGAGAGGAAGGUCCUCCACAUUGGAACUGAGACACGGUCCAA
This 255-nucleotide ribosomal RNA is filed under the name uncultured bacterium. RNAcentral's name for it is "partial 16S ribosomal RNA". It matches the Rfam family "Bacterial small subunit ribosomal RNA", at positions 78 to 334 of the family's 1533-position model. The record is from RNAcentral.